This is a long non-coding RNA of Medicago truncatula (barrel medic), 475 nucleotides long. RefSeq lists it as uncharacterized. NCBI's taxonomy places the organism in Eukaryota, Viridiplantae, Streptophyta, Magnoliopsida, Fabales, Fabaceae. The record is from RefSeq and is a predicted model, not a curated record. The transcript has 2 exons.
AUAGAAAGAGGGCAUAAGCUCAAACCAGAAGUCGUAUCGACUUAGAGACAAUCCAAACAAUGUUAUCAAUAACUCUUACAAAAGAAAAUAGUCUCUCUCUCUUUACUGUUGAUUUCCGAUUAUGGUGAUACCGUCUUCCUUCAAAAAAUUUGACGACCGAAUGCAGUGUUCAUGAAGAUUAACAGGAUGUUGGUUUUGGAUCAGCCUCAUGAUGAGAUAGGAUAGACCACAUAUAAUUCGGUUGUAAUCGUAUAGGACUGUGUUUUAUGGAUAGUCUCACUAAUCUGAUGAGCUAUUAAUGUGGUUUGCGAUAUUUAUUGUUUUUCUACUUAAAAACAAAGAGUGUGUUGAUUUUGAUUUUGCGUAUUCGUAUCUUUUUAUUGGUAGGAAGGCUACUUGUAAUGUUUGUCUUAUGGCAUGUGUAGUUUCUAUUUAAUUUGUCGUUUAAAUCAUAUUUUUGAAUCCUGUUGUAUUA